Molecule: ribosomal RNA, 255 nt
Filed under: uncultured bacterium
Lineage: Bacteria
Description: partial 16S ribosomal RNA
Rfam family: Bacterial small subunit ribosomal RNA
Source: RNAcentral
UACGUAGGGGGGCAAGCGUUUGUCCGGAUUUACUGGGCGUAAAGAGCGUGUAGGCGGCCAAACAGGUCCGUUGUGAAAACUGGAGGCUCAACUUCCAGACGUCGACGGAAACCGUGUGGCUAGAGUCCGGAAGAGGAGAGUGGAAUUCCUGGUGUAGCGGUGAAAUGCGUAGAGAUCAGGAGGAACACCCGGGGCGAAGGCGGCCCUCUGGCUCGACCCUGACGCUGAGGCGCGAAAGCGUGAGGAGCGAACGGG